AGUGAACGCUGGCGGUAGGCCUAACACAUGCAAGUCGAACGGCAGCACAGUAAGAGCUUGCUCUUACGGGUGGCGAGUGGCGGACGGGUGAGGAAUACAUCGGAAUCUACUUUUUCGUGGGGGAUAACGUAGGGAAACUUACGCUAAUACCGCAUACGACCUACGGGUGAAAGCAGGGGAUCUUCGGACCUUGCGCGAUAGAAUGAGCCGAUGUCGGAUUAGCUAGUUGGCGGGGUAAAGGCCCACCAAGGCGACGAUCCGUAGCUGGUCUGAGAGGAUGAUCAGCCACACUGGAACUGAGACACGGUCCAGACUCGUACGGGAGGCAGCAGUGGGGAAUAUUGGACAAUGGGCGGAAGCCUGAUCCAGCCAUACCGCGUGGGUGAAGAGGGCCUUCGCGUUGUAAAGCCAUUUUGUUGGGAAAGAAAAGCAGCAGGUUAAUACCCCGCUGUUCUGACGGUACCCAAAGAAUAAGCACCGGCUAACUUCGUG
Molecule: ribosomal RNA, 492 nt
Filed under: uncultured bacterium
Lineage: Bacteria
Description: partial 16S ribosomal RNA
Rfam family: Bacterial small subunit ribosomal RNA
Source: RNAcentral